ACGCUCGACACCUACGGGAGCAGCAGUGAGGAAUAUUGGUCAAUGGGCGCUAGCCUGAACCAGCCAAGUAGCGUGAAGGAUGAAGGCUCUAUGGGUCGUAAACUUCUUUUAUAUAAGAAUAAAGUGCAGUAUGUAUACUGUUUUGUAUGUAUUAUAUGAAUAAGGAUCGGCUAACUCCGUGCCAUCAGCCUCGGUAAUCUGAGCGGGCUGGCAAGGC
This 217-nucleotide ribosomal RNA is filed under the name uncultured bacterium. RNAcentral describes it as "partial 16S ribosomal RNA". It matches the Rfam family "Bacterial small subunit ribosomal RNA", at positions 328 to 539 of the family's 1533-position model. The record is from RNAcentral.